This 583-nucleotide ribosomal RNA is filed under the name uncultured bacterium. Its description in RNAcentral is "bacterial SSU rRNA". It matches the Rfam family "Bacterial small subunit ribosomal RNA", at positions 102 to 671 of the family's 1533-position model. The record is from RNAcentral.
ACGGGUGAGUAACACGUGGGCAACCUGCCCUUGAGACUGGGAUAACUUCGGGAAACCGGAGCUAAUACCGGAUAAUAUAAGGAACCUCCUGGUUCCUUGUUGAAAGAUGGUUUCGGCUAUCACUUAAGGAUGGGCCCGCGGCGCAUUAGCUAGUUGGUGAGGUAACGGCUCACCAAGGCGACGAUGCGUAGCCGACCUGAGAGGGUGAUCGGCCACACUGGGACUGAGACACGGCCCAGACUCCUACGGGAGGCAGCAGUAGGGAAUCUUCCACAAUGGACGAAAGUCUGAUGGAGCAACGCCGCGUGAGUGAUGAAGGCCUUCGGGUCGUAAAGCUCUGUUGUUAGGGAAGAACAAGUGCGAGAGUAACUGCUCGCACCUUGACGGUACCUAACCAGAAAGCCACGGCUAACUACGUGCCAGCAGCCGCGGUAAUACGUAGGUGGCAAGCGUUAUCCGGAAUUAUUGGGCGUAAAGCGCGCGCAGGUGGUUUCUUAAGUCUGAUGUGAAAGCCCACGGCUCAACCGUGGAGGGUCAUUGGAAACUGGGGAACUUGAGUGCAGAAGAGGAAAGUGGAAUUCCA